CUUCAUUAAUCUCGGAAAUGAAUCACUCUUUGACCUUUGUUUGGACAUCUGGCCUCGUGGGGAUGGUCAACUUGGCUACUGAUGGAUGGUCUCGACACCCAAACUUGGCACUGUGUGGCGAUCUGGAUUUGGGUGUCAAGAGUGACGAUCUCAUCCCUGGUGAAAGAGCGGUGCCAACUUCUCCAACAUUGGCAGGACACUGUUGCUGGUAUGUUGUUGGUUGGAAGAUGAUGUCAUCAAAAGUCUAUCUCCAGUGUGGCCCAUAUGGUCCUGAGGGUAUACCAUAAAACCUGAUAGAGUGAAUAGGACAUCCAGUUGCAACCAUGUCUCCUGGAUGACAAUCACCUUAAUUAAGAAAACCAUCUUGCAUUUAAUAAUUGUAGCUGAUUGGCUCGUACACCUCUUGCGUUCCACUGGACUACAUAAAGUUUGUCCAUCAAAUGACU
Molecule: long non-coding RNA, 446 nt
Filed under: Androctonus crassicauda
Lineage: Eukaryota; Metazoa; Arthropoda; Arachnida; Scorpiones; Buthidae
Source: RNAcentral